Molecule: transfer RNA, 77 nt
Filed under: Candidatus Berkelbacteria bacterium
Lineage: Bacteria; Candidatus Berkelbacteria
Description: tRNA-Arg
Rfam family: tRNA
About the family: Transfer RNA (tRNA) molecules are approximately 80 nucleotides in length. Their secondary structure includes four short double-helical elements and three loops (D, anti-codon, and T loops). Further hydrogen bonds mediate the characteristic L-shaped molecular structure. tRNAs have two regions of fundamental functional importance: the anti-codon, which is responsible for specific mRNA codon recognition, and the 3' end, to which the tRNAs corresponding amino acid is attached (by aminoacyl-tRNA synthetases). tRNAs cope with the degeneracy of the genetic code in two manners: having more than one tRNA (with a specific anti-codon) for a particular amino acid; and 'wobble' base-pairing, i.e. permitting non-standard base-pairing at the 3rd anti-codon position.
Source: RNAcentral
GCCUCCGUGGCUUAAUUGGAUAGAGCGUCAGCUUCCGGAGCUGAAGAUUGGCCGUUCGAGUCGGCCCGGAGGUACCA